CCUACGGGAGGCUGCAGUGGGGAAUAUUGCACAAUGGGCGCAAGCCUGAUGCAGCCAUGCCGCGUGUGUGAAGAAGGCCUUCGGGUUGUAAAGCACUUUCAGCGGGGAGGAAGGCGUUAAGGUUAAUAACCUUGUCGAUUGACGUUACCCGCAGAAGAAGCACCGGCUAACUCCGUGCCAGCAGCCGCGGUAAUACGGAGGGUGCAAGCGUUAAUCGGAAUUACUGGGCGUAAAGCGCACGCAGGCGGUCUGUCAAGUCGGAUGUGAAAUCCCCGGGCUCAACCUGGGAACUGCAUUCGAAACUGGCAGGCUAGAGUCUUGUAGAGGGGGGUAGAAUUCCAGGUGUAGCGGUGAAAUGCGUAGAGAUCUGGAGGAAUACCGGGGGCGAAGGCGGCCCCCUGGACAAAGACUGACGCUCAGGUGCGAAAGCGUGGGGAGCAAACAGGAUUAAUACCCCAGUAGUC
Molecule: ribosomal RNA, 464 nt
Filed under: uncultured Klebsiella sp.
Lineage: Bacteria; Pseudomonadati; Pseudomonadota; Gammaproteobacteria; Enterobacterales; Enterobacteriaceae
Description: bacterial SSU rRNA
Rfam family: Bacterial small subunit ribosomal RNA
Source: RNAcentral